Molecule: non-coding RNA, 45 nt
Filed under: Schistosoma mansoni
Lineage: Eukaryota; Metazoa; Platyhelminthes; Trematoda; Strigeidida; Schistosomatidae
Source: RNAcentral
AUCCAGCUGACGAGUCCCAAAUUGGAAGAAACGCGCUUUUGGGAU